Molecule: ribosomal RNA, 1026 nt
Filed under: Triticum aestivum (bread wheat)
Lineage: Eukaryota; Viridiplantae; Streptophyta; Magnoliopsida; Poales; Poaceae
Description: partial small subunit ribosomal RNA
Source: RNAcentral
AUGCUUUCACAACUUGACUUCAAAAUAUUUGGUUUGGAGACCAUCAAAGAUCAAUAUGUGCAUGAUGCUGAUUUUAAAGAUGUAAUGCAGAAUUGUAAAGAAGGAAGAAUGUGGAACAAGUUUGUCGUUAACGAUGGAUUUGUGUUUCGUGCCAACAAGCUAUGCAUUCCAGCUAGCUCCGUUCGUCUUUUGUUGUUGCAGGAGGCGCAUGGAGGAGGAUUAAUGGGACACUUUGGCGUGAAGAAGACGGAGGACGUACUUGCUACACAUUUCUUUUGGCCAAAGAUGAGACGGGAUGUUGAGCGGGCUGUUUUGAAGAAUAAUAAGAAAAUGUGGGAGGAAUGUUUGCCUCAUAUUGAAUUUGCUUAUAAUCGUUCAUUGCAUUCUACUACUAAGAUGUGCCCUUUUGAAGUUGUGUAUGGUUUCCUACCUCGUGCACCUAUUGAUUUGUUGCCUCUUCCAUCUUCGGAGAAGGUUAAUUUUGAUGCUAAACAACGUGCUGAAUUGAUUUUAAAAAUGCAUGAGUUAACUAAGGAAAACAUUGAGCGUAUGAAUGCUAAAUAUAAACUUGCUGGAGAUAAGGGUAGAAAACAUGUUGUGUUUGCACCUGGAGAUCUUGUUUGGUUACAUUUGCGUAAGGAUAGAUUUCCUGAUUUGCGCAAAUCAAAGUUAAUGCCACGUGCUGAUGGUCCCUUUAAGGUGUUAGAGAAAAUAAAUGAUAAUGCAUAUAAACUUGAGCUGCCUGCAGAUUUUGGGGUUAGUCCCACUUUUGACAUUGCAGAUUUGAAGCCUUAUUUGGGUGAGGAAGAUGAACUUCCGUCGAGGACGACUUCAUUUCAAGAAGGGGAGGAUGAUGAGGACAUCAAUACAAUUGUUACACCCACAGCACCUGCUGCUAUACAUACUGGACCAAUUACUAGAGCUCGUGCACGCCAACUAAAUUACCAGGAAACAGACCCUCGUGGUCAGGUUGAUCGUGCUCCGGCGUGGUCAAUAACCUCUCGGAGUUGGUUUAGCAAUUGCUAA